AUUGAACGCUGGCGGCGUGCUUAACACAUGCAAGUCGAUCGGUAACAGGUGUAGCAAUACAUGCUGACGAGAGGCGGACGGGUGAGUAAUGCUUGGGAAUCUGCCUAUUAGUGGGGGACAACCCGGGGAAACUCGGGCUAAUACCGCAUACGCUCUACGGAGGAAAGCCGGGGACCGCAAGGCCUGGCGCUAAUAGAUGAGCCCAAGUCGGAUUAGCUAGUUGGUAGGGUAACGGCCUACCAAGGCGACAAUCCGUAGCUGGUCUGAGAGGACGACCAGCCACACCGGAACUGAGACACGGUCCGGACUCCUACGGGAGGCAGCAGUGGGGAAUAUUGGACAAUGGGGGCAACCCUGAUCCAGCGACGCCGCGUGGGUGAAGAAGGCCUGCGGGUUGUAAAGCCCGUUUCGGUGGGGAAGAAAGUCUCGACCUAAUACGUCGGGACCUUGACGUAACCCACUAAAGAAGCACCGGCUAACUCU
Molecule: ribosomal RNA, 483 nt
Filed under: uncultured bacterium
Lineage: Bacteria
Description: bacterial SSU rRNA
Rfam family: Bacterial small subunit ribosomal RNA
Source: RNAcentral